This 492-nucleotide ribosomal RNA is filed under the name uncultured bacterium. Its description in RNAcentral is "partial 16S ribosomal RNA". It matches the Rfam family "Bacterial small subunit ribosomal RNA", at positions 29 to 507 of the family's 1533-position model. The record is from RNAcentral.
AGUGAACGCUGGCGGUAGGCCUAACACAUGCAAGUCGAACGGCAGCACAGUAAGAGCUUGCUCUUACGGGUGGCGAGUGGCGGACGGGUGAGGAAUACAUCGGAAUCUACUUUUUCGUGGGGGAUAACGUAGGGAAACUUACGCUAAUACAGCAUACGACCUACGGGUGAAAGCAGGGGAUCUUCGGACCUUGCGCGAUUGAAUGAGCCGAUGUCGGAUUAGCUAGUUGGCUGGGUAAAGGCCCACCAAGGCGACGAUCCGUAGCUGGUCUGAGAGGAUGAUCAGCCACACGGGAACUGAGACACGGUCCAGACUCCUACGGGAGGCAGCAGUGGGGAAUAUUGGACAAUGGGCGCAAGCCUGAUCCAGCCAUACCGCGUGGGUGAAGAAGGCCUUCGGGUUGUAAAGCCCUUUUGUUGGGAAAGAAAAGCAGCAGGGUAAUACCCCGCUGUUCUGACGGUACCCAAAGAAUAAGCAACGGCUAACUUCGUG